GACGAACGCUGGCGGCGUGCUUAACACAUGCAAGUCGAACGGAAAGGCCCUGCUUUUGUGGGGUGCUCGAGUGGCGAACGGGUGAGUAACACGUGAGUAACCUGCCCUUGACUUUGGGAUAACUUCAGGAAACUGGGGCUAAUACCGCAUAGGAGCUCCUGCUGCAUGGUGGGGGUUGGAAAGUUUCGGCGGUUGUGGAUGGAUUCGCGGCUUAUCAGCUUGUUGGUGGGGUAGUGGCUUACGAAGGCUUUGACGGGUAGCCGGCCUGAGAGCGUGACCGGGCACAUGGGUACUGAGAGACGCACCAGUCUCGUACGGGAGGCAGCAGUGGGGAAUAUUGCAGAAUGGCCGGAAGCCUGAUGCAGCAACGCCGCGUGCGGGAUAACGGCCUUCGGGUUGUAAACCGCUUUCGCCUGUGACGUAGCGGGAGUGACGGUAAUGGGUAAAGAAGCACCGGCUAACUACGUG
This 468-nucleotide ribosomal RNA is filed under the name uncultured bacterium. RNAcentral's name for it is "partial 16S ribosomal RNA". It matches the Rfam family "Bacterial small subunit ribosomal RNA", at positions 28 to 507 of the family's 1533-position model. The record is from RNAcentral.